GAUGAAGAACGCAGCGAAAUGCGAUAAGUAAUGUGAAUUGCAGAAUUCAGUGAAUCAUCGAAUCUUUGAACGCACAUUGCGCCCGCCAGUAUUCUGGCGGGCAUGCCUGUUCGAGCGUCAUUUCAACCAUCAAGCCCCCGGCUUGUGUUGGGGACCUGCGGCUGCCGCAGGCCCUGAAAAGCAGUGGCGGGCUCGCGGUCACACCGAGCGUAGUAGCAUACAUCUCGCUCUGGGCGUGCUGCGGGUUCCGGCCGUUAAACCACCUUCAUAACCCAAGGUUGACCUCGGAUCAGGUAGGAAGACCCGCUGAACUUAAGCAUAUCAAUAAGCGGAGGA
RNAcentral lists this unclassified non-coding RNA (336 nucleotides) under soil metagenome. Its description in RNAcentral is "partial contains 5.8S ribosomal RNA, internal transcribed spacer 2, and large subunit ribosomal RNA". The stretch from base 1 to 120 matches the Rfam family "5.8S ribosomal RNA", at positions 35 to 154 of the family's 154-position model. The record is from RNAcentral.